UCAAUGGGGGCAACCCUGAACGAGCAAUGCCGCGUGAGCGAAGAAGGUCUUCGGAUUGUAAAGCUCUGUUGCCGGGGAAAAAGGAAGGAAAGAGGAAAUGCUUUUCUUUGGAUGGUACCCGGCCAGAAAGUCACGGCUAACUACGUGCC
RNAcentral lists this ribosomal RNA (149 nucleotides) under uncultured bacterium. RNAcentral's name for it is "partial 16S ribosomal RNA". It matches the Rfam family "Bacterial small subunit ribosomal RNA", at positions 368 to 509 of the family's 1533-position model. The record is from RNAcentral.